Molecule: unclassified non-coding RNA, 166 nt
Filed under: Borreliella garinii
Lineage: Bacteria; Pseudomonadati; Spirochaetota; Spirochaetia; Spirochaetales; Borreliaceae
Description: partial 5S-23S ribosomal RNA intergenic spacer
Source: RNAcentral
UUUGUUUAUACAACAUAGAAUAAUAUAUAUCUUUGUUUAAUCCAUGUCAAUAUAUAUAUUUUAUUUUUUAUAUUAUUUGAAUAAAACAUUCAAAUAAUAUAAACAUCUAAAAACAUAAAAAAUAAAAUCAAUGUUUAAAGUAUAAAAUAAAAACCCUGGCAAUAAC